This 257-nucleotide long non-coding RNA is filed under the name Carica papaya (papaya). RNAcentral's name for it is "long non-coding RNA (CPAP_LNC015906)". The record is from RNAcentral. Lineage: Eukaryota; Viridiplantae; Streptophyta; Magnoliopsida; Brassicales; Caricaceae.
UUUUAUGAUUGAUAAAUUAAUUUACUAAAUUUAAUGCUCCAUUAGUGGUUCUCGACUUUAUACCAACUUUUUCUUCUGUGCCGGUGAUAUAAUGUGAUAUCCUUACUGGGUUAGUGUAGUUCAUCCUUUAUUUAACCAUUUCAUAUCAAGAUGACUAGGUUUCAGAGCCCGAUUCGUAAGAAGAUUGCGAGUAAAUGUUAGAUAUUUUCUAUUUUCCAUUUGUUUCCUUAUUUCUCGUGUUUCUUUCAAAGAAUUAU